Molecule: ribosomal RNA, 378 nt
Filed under: Escherichia coli
Lineage: Bacteria; Pseudomonadati; Pseudomonadota; Gammaproteobacteria; Enterobacterales; Enterobacteriaceae
Description: bacterial LSU rRNA
Rfam family: Bacterial large subunit ribosomal RNA
Source: RNAcentral
GUAUGGCUGUUCGCCAUUUAAAGUGGUACGCGAGCUGGGUUUAGAACGUCGUGAGACAGUUCGGUCCCUAUCUGCCGUGGGCGCUGGAGAACUGAGGGGGGCUGCUCCUAGUACGAGAGGACCGGAGUGGACGCAUCACUGGUGUUCGGGUUGUCAUGCCAAUGGCACUGCCCGGUAGCUAAAUGCGGAAGAGAUAAGUGCUGAAAGCAUCUAAGCACGAAACUUGCCCCGAGAUGAGUUCUCCCUGACUCCUUGAGAGUCCUGAAGGAACGUUGAAGACGACGACGUUGAUAGGCCGGGUGUGUAAGCGCAGCGAUGCGUUGAGCUAACCGGUACUAAUGAACCGUGAGGCUUAACCUUACAACGCCGAAGGUGUUU